AAAAAAAAAUAACCCAGCCUCAGAGGUGCUUAUUUAGCAAAUUCAACCUUAAACCUGAGUGCAUGGAAACUAUUGAUGCAGUGUCCAAGGUGGAGAAAGGUCAGAGUGGAUCCAGAGGAGCCAAGAGAAGACGUCCAGCAUGGUGACCUGGGCUCAAGUCAAGGUCCUUAUUUCUCUGCAUUAACUGUAAUGUUAAAAGGAGGGACUUACCCAGAAAUAACACUGAAUGCAACCUAAAGCAGCAAGAAUCUUCAUGGGAACAGAAUAAACACAAAGGAUGUCUACCCUUCCUCCCUCCACCCACUUGGAUUCUUGUUUCUAGUUUGCACCUGGACAUAAGGCCAUUUUGUACUUCCACACAUAGAGCAAAACUGUUCUACACACCUAAAAUUAUAGUGUGUACCUUGUGCAACAAUGCAUCUAAAACACAAUUUGCAUAAGGUGAGACUUGCAUAACUUGGGGUUGAGAUUUAAGACUCUAUUUCAAAUCUUCUGAGUUUUAAGUUUAGGACUCUUAAGCCUAGGACUUUUUAUUUCAUAUUUUACCAUUUCUUAAUUCAAGUAUGAUAAGCAUGUCAAAUUCAUGUUCAUUCAAUAAAUGAUUCACGAGCUACUAACUUACACUACAAUUGUUUUUUAAAUAUUUAUGUGUUGUUUGGAGAGAAAGAGGCAUUUUAAAUCUAAAGACAGUAGUAGAUCAUCCAUCCUGAAUUGUUAGAGAAUGAGACACCUCAUAUUCGUGUAUUUUUCAGAAGACCGAAGCUUACUUUAACCCUUAAAGAAUGAGCUUUAAAAUCCUAUCCAUUUUUGGGGGGAAAUAUUUCUGCAAGAAGUCUCUUACUUUCUUAAGCAGAGUAUUUCAAACUGUUUUAUCAUGAAUUGACAAUCUAUAAUUGUAUAAAUUUAUGGGGUACAACAUGAUGUUAUAAUUUAUGAGUGUGAUGUGGAAUAACUAUAUCAAGCUAAUUAAUAUUUUCAUUACCUCAAAUACUUAACAUUUUUUGUAGUGAGAACAUUUGAAAUGCACUCUUAGCAAAUUUGAAAUGUACAAUUCUCUAUUAUUAACUAUGUUCAACACACGGUCCAAUAGAACUCAAAAAA
This is a long non-coding RNA of Homo sapiens (human), 1101 nucleotides long. Ensembl annotates it as prostate cancer associated transcript 1. Its record names the gene PCAT1. The record is from Ensembl. Lineage: Eukaryota; Metazoa; Chordata; Mammalia; Primates; Hominidae.